GAUAGAACGUAGCAAAAUGCGAUAAGUAAUGUGAAUUGCAGAAUUCAGUGAAUCAUCGAAUCUUUGAACGCACAUUGCGCCCGCCAGUAUUCUGGCGGGCAUGCCUGUUCGAGCGUCAUUUCAACCCUCAAGCACAGCUUGGUGUUGGGACUCGCGUUAAUUCGCGUUCCUCAAAUUGAUUGGCGGUCACGUCGAGCUUCCAUAGCGUAGUAGUAAAACCCUCGUUACUGGUAAUCGUCGCGGCCACGCCGUUAAACCCCAACUUCUGAAUGUUGACCUCGGAUCAGGUAGGAAUACCCGCUGAACUUAAGCAUAUCAAUAAGCGGAGGA
Molecule: unclassified non-coding RNA, 330 nt
Filed under: soil metagenome
Description: partial contains 5.8S ribosomal RNA, internal transcribed spacer 2, and large subunit ribosomal RNA
Rfam family: 5.8S ribosomal RNA (bases 4-118)
Source: RNAcentral